AGAGACAGCAGUCGCCGCGGUAAUACGUAGGUCCCGAGCGUUGUCCGGAUUUAUUGGGCGUAAAGCGAGCGCAGGCGGUUAGAUAAGUCUGAAGUUAAAGGCUGUGGCUUAACCAUAGUACGCUUUAGAAACUGUUUAACUUGAGUGCAAGAGGGGGGAGUAGAAUUCCAUGUGUAGCGGUGAAAUGCGUAGAUAUAUGGAGGAACACCGGUGGCGAAAGCGGCUCUCUGGCUUGUAACUGACGCUGAGGCUCGAAAGCGUGGGGAGCAAACAGGAUUAGAUACCCCGGUAGUCCCUGUCUCUUAUACA
RNAcentral lists this ribosomal RNA (309 nucleotides) under uncultured bacterium. RNAcentral's name for it is "partial 16S ribosomal RNA". It matches the Rfam family "Bacterial small subunit ribosomal RNA", at positions 504 to 808 of the family's 1533-position model. The record is from RNAcentral.